RNAcentral lists this long non-coding RNA (257 nucleotides) under Musa acuminata (dwarf banana). Its description in RNAcentral is "long non-coding RNA (MACU_LNC001145)". Lineage: Eukaryota; Viridiplantae; Streptophyta; Magnoliopsida; Zingiberales; Musaceae. The record is from RNAcentral.
GUAGAUGCCUCCGGCCUUCGACGAAGAACGUGGUAAAGGCUACAGGCAUCUUCGGCCUUCGAUGAAGAACGCGGCGAAGGCCGCAGGCAUUUCCGAUCUUUGGUGAAAAACGCGGCGAAGAAGAACCCGAGCUAUCGCCUCUCCGUUACCUUAUGGAUCGGGAUCGUUGAGGGAGGGCGGCACCGGAUUGGAAAGCAUCAAGGUUCUCCCGAGUCUCCCUCUUCUUCGAGCACUUUCUCCCUCUUCUCCCUCGUCGC